This 4021-nucleotide unclassified non-coding RNA is filed under the name Hevea brasiliensis (rubber tree). Lineage: Eukaryota; Viridiplantae; Streptophyta; Magnoliopsida; Malpighiales; Euphorbiaceae. The record is from RNAcentral.
AAAAAAUAACACGCUUUCAGAGAAACCAAGAUUUCCCUCUGAAAUGGAGAAGAGACUUCGCUCGUCUCUUCGAUCCUCAGCCGAAGAAUUUCUUUCCUCCGCCGGAAAAAUCAAUUUGAAAUCUUCAAAAUCAACUCUCAAAACCUUAAUCCACGCCAUCCCAGCUUCUUCUCCCCUCUCCUCCUCUCUCCCUCUUUCCCUCCACCGCUCCAUUUCCGACUCCAUUCUCUCUUUCCGGAACCUUCUAGAGCAUCCCCCACCUCCCUCCCCAGACCUCGCCAAGUCCCCUCCCUCCAAGCGCCUCCGCCGGUCCUCCCGGAAAAAUCAACCUAAUUCCCAAAAAAUUGAGUCCAAUUUCACCUGCGAUAAGCAAGAGACUCUCGAGAAACUCCAAAUUCUCGCUCACAUCGUGUUUCUAUGUGUUUCGCAUCCCAAAAAUGCGUUUUUACCCUCGGAUUUGUUACCUGCAGUUCAGUCAUUGCACGAUAAUUUGGUUCUGUUUGAAUCGGAUUCCAACUUGUUAUUGGAAACAGCGAGCUUGUGUGAAGUGUAUUGGAAGGAGAAUCUACCAGGUCGAGAAAUGCUCAUUUCUCAGUCUCUUCCGUUCUUGGUUUCUAAGUCACUGACUUCGAAAAGGAAAGUGGAUGUUCAUAGGGUGUAUGCCCUGCGCGAGGCUUUCGCCUUGUUGGAUUUCGAAGAUGAGAGCAUAGAUGACUUGAAGCUGUUGUUGAUGCGAUGUGUCAUUGCGCCUCUGUAUUUGAAAACAGAGGAUGGAAGGCGGUUUCUAGCGUUUAUGGUCGGGUUGAGUAUGCAAUUACUGAAGGAGGCAUUAGCGAUGAUGAGGUCGCAGAUUCCGUUCGGGAGAAAGUCCAUUUUGGAGGCGUAUGGGGAGGUUUUAUUCAGGGCGUGGAAAUCAGCCGGAGGGGAAUUGAAGAAUGAGAUUGAGAAUGGAUUCUUGCAGGGUUUGAUUGAUGGCGCAAUUCACGCGAGUUCCGGUGUGUUUGGAGCUUCUAUUAGGAGGAUUUUGGGAGGGUUUGUUAGCCAAAGAAUUACUGAUGGGGUGGAGAAAUUGCUUUUUCGUCUUGCUGAGCCUGUUAUAUUCCGCUCGUUGCAGGUUGCAAAUUCAAAUGUUCGUCUUAAUACGUUGCAUUUACUUUUAGAUUUGUUCCCCCUUGAAGAUCCUGAUGCAACAAAAGAAGUUAAAGAUACACUGCUUGAAAAACAGUUCUUUUUACUAGAGAGAUUGCUCAUGGAUGAUUGUCCAAAUGUUAGAGUUGUUGCAGUAGAAGGUUGUUGCCGUGUUCUUAGUUUGUUUUGGGAAAUCAUACCUCCAUCAACCAUUACAAAGAUACUCACAAAAAUUUGUGAUGAAAUGUCACAUGAUAUAUGCAAUGAGGUUAGGCUCUCCACGUUGAGUGGAAUUGUCUACUUGCUUGGAAAUCCACAAUCUCAUGAAGUUAUGAAAGUGCUUCUACCAAGAUUGGGGCAUUUGAUCUUGGAUAAUGUUCUUUCUACUCGUGUUGCUAUUAUGGAUCUCCUCCUUUUUAUAAGAGAUAUUAAAACAUUCCAGUUUAACAAGGUUGUGGGUUUAGAUGUGUUAUUGUCAACGCUCGCAAAUGAUCAGCCUCAAGUUGCUCAGAAGAUAACAAGAUUGCUUAUACCAUCAUACUUUCCCUCAAAAGUAAGCAUUGGAGAGGCAUGCAAUCGUUGUGUUACUCUUAUCAAAAGGUCUCCCAAGGCAGGGGCAAAGUUUUGUGAAUUUGCUGUGUCAGAAGGGGCAUCUCUUAAGUCUCUCAUGGAACUUGUCAAAGCAUUGAUAAAUUUGGUUUUAUCACUUGAAAAGCUGGAUGCAGAUCAAAUUGAGGGUUUACUUGCUGCUGCUUCCUCCCUUUGCAAUAGUCUAGUGGGUGAGCCAUGUUACAAUGAUGCCCUUAAAGAGUUGUUUUCUGGUGGAAAAGUAAAGUGCUUGUUUGCUGCUGCAUCAACUGGGUGUGCUCAAUCAUCUGUAUUCAACAUUUUUUCUGCUGUCUGUCCAGAGGAUAUGGCUAGUCUUGUCGAAGAAUGUAUGCACGUCAUCACUAACUGUAGUGGAAUAUCUGAGAAUGUUGAAUUGCAAGCUGAAGUGAGGUCUGCCCACAAAUUGUUGCUGUCAUGUGAUGGUUUUGAUGAUAUGUUUGAGGCUCAAACAAAGCUUUUGCAAAAAACUGCCUAUCGAUGCCAUGUUAAAUUUGGGAUUGAAUUGCCAAAGCAGAGAAUUUCUUCUGGAAAAAGGAAGAAAUGCAAUUCAGUCAAAAUUUCAGCCAAGUGGAAACAUGUUAGUGGGAAAAAUGCAUCUGAUUUUGAGGAGGAUUAUUCAAUUGCUGUAGGAAUAGGCUGGCAAAUAAAAGACUUUCUUGUUUCUGAGGAUACUCGGAAAGCUGUACUAGGGUCUCAAGCUCUAGAACUUCCAUUUCUUGCUUUAAAGGUCAUCUCCGAGGUCAGCAUUUUGCAAUGUGUCUGCUGUGAAUAUAUGGAAACUUCUCCUCUUUUGGCAUAUACUGCUCUUGCCUUGCAUAUGACUCUUCAAAAUAUAAACAUUAGAACAAGUGAAUGUAGUGCAAAGAAGAAAGACAGAACCGACUCUUCAUCAGUUCUGGAGAGGACAUUGUUGGAUGAGACAGUAGAUCACCUGCUUAACUGUACUGAGAAGCUGCUUGCAGCAGAUGAUGCUGGAACGUCUGGCAAUUUACCUGCAAACUCAAAACAAGAUAACAAGAAGGUCAAUCAGGCAGAAAAGCAAAAGAAGCCUCAAAGAGAUGCAUCUGGCUCAAAUACUGAUGGAUCUCCUCAAGAUAAACAAAAGAUGACGUCAAAAAAGGUGAAGAUGCUUACUGCAGUUCUCAAGUUCAUUGUUGAUUCCACUGCAAUGGGCUUUCUUUCUCACCUUAACAGAAGGUGCUUAAGUUUUACAUCAUCAUAUGUAAAACACGUCAUCUUUGUCUUGGGACAACAAUAUUUUGAAGGACAGCAAUUUAAGGAGGAUAAUUUGAAAGACAGUAUUAUCUGUCUGAAGAGCUCUUUUAGCUACGCAGCCAAGUUACUCAAUCUUAUACUUAAAGACGCUACUGAAGCUUCACCACCUCCACAAGAAGCUUUUGACCUGGCCAAUGAUAUGCUUGACCUAAUUACCUCAUUUGAAAUCUAUUUGGGCUCUAGUUUUGCUGCACACCUUGCUGCAGUUGCAAAGUCUUGGCUGCCUGAUUUGAUUCUUGCAUUGGGCUUAGGGGGCAUACUUAGACAUACUCCAGUAGAAAGCACAUAUUUGACGGCAUUAUCACAUGUUAAGCUCCAUUAUCCAUCUUGGCCUUUAAUUUUGGCGAAGGCUGAGCUCUUUGAAAUGAAAGAAGUUAAUCCAGAUGAGGAUGAUCAUGAAGUUUCAGAUCCAGAGGAAUUUCCCAUGUUUAAGAAAUUUAUGGAAAUGAUAAUUCCACUGUUGAAAAGAAAUCCUAACAUACUGGAUGCUGUUGGAGUGAUUUUCUUGACCCAUUCAGUUGUUGGCCUGGAAAGGAAGGACUUUGCGUUGGUGCUGGGGCUCCUGCACUUUGUCUGUGUAAAGUUAGUUGGCCAAGAGGACAAAACUUGGAAUGAACUUGAUAUGAUGCUGAGUUCUCUGCCAGACAUUUACCCUCAGAUUGAAAGAGAAAUUGAGGAACAAAGCAAUGAAGAUGUAAGGCAGAAAUUACUUAGUGCCAGGGUAUUGCUUGAACCUGUUUGGUUGUACCAUAGUUAUGAAACUGGGAGGUUUACUGUGAUGGAAGAAUAGAUAGAAUUAUUUAUGUUCCACCUGGCCAAGAGACUAGAAUAAUUGUAUAUGGUUCUGAAGAUGUGGAAAGAAUUUAAAAAUCAUUACUUGUUUUCCUCGCGAUGCUGCCAUUGGGUGAUCACAGGCUUUGUUCUUUUUUGAUAUUGCAGGCCUGAUUACUUGGAGCAUCUUCUAACACCAGCUAAAAAUGAGUGUCGUAUGUUCAAACAGGAAAACAAG